UGCACUAUAAAAGAUUGCUAGGAAUAAAAGAAUGUUCAAAAAUUUUAUUCCUUUUCAUCUUAUGACUAAGAAUAUGACAUUUUAGUAUUUAGUUCGUACAAUCAUAUUAUUUAGUUAUAUUAUUAAAGAUUAAGAAAAAUAUACAAUUAAUAUAUUUGUUUCUUUAAUUAAUUUUAGAUAAUGCUAUAAAAUUUUUAACAUCUGUUUAGAAAAAAAAGGAGAGAGAACAUAUUAAAGAGAGAGUAUAAUUACAGAAAUAGGAAGAAAGAUAGCGGAAAUUAGAGGGAGUAAGAGAGUUGAGAUUUUAGAAAAAGUGAGGGAGAGAAAUCUUAGCUUAGAGAGAGAAAGAGAAUUAAAAUUUAGAGAGAGAAAGAUAAGCUUAAAGAGAGAUAUGAGGUUAGAGAGUAAAGAAAAAUAACAUCAACUAGCCGACGGGUGGAGAAAAAGAAAAAGAUUAGACAUAUUAUGAUUACUCUAAUAUAAGGAUAACCAUCCACACUCGAAAGAAUAAAAUUAGUACUUUAGGAUAAAUUUGAUUUUCAAAUAAAUCUAACGUUACCAACUAAAUUACUUAGUGCGUUUAGCCAAACACCAUCAUAUUUUUUUUUAUUUCUAUUGAAUUACUAGAAAUCUUAAAAAGAUAGCGUGAACCAAACGCACCCAUAUAGUUAAAAUAAGUUUCUUAUUUAUGUGAGCACGUGU
RNAcentral lists this long non-coding RNA (702 nucleotides) under Ananas comosus (pineapple). Its description in RNAcentral is "long non-coding RNA (ACOM_LNC022655)". Lineage: Eukaryota; Viridiplantae; Streptophyta; Magnoliopsida; Poales; Bromeliaceae. The record is from RNAcentral.